This 1377-nucleotide ribosomal RNA is filed under the name Triticum aestivum (bread wheat). RNAcentral's name for it is "partial small subunit ribosomal RNA". Lineage: Eukaryota; Viridiplantae; Streptophyta; Magnoliopsida; Poales; Poaceae. The record is from RNAcentral.
GUUCUGCAGGACAUCUUGCAUCAUAUACAUUUUCUCAUGCCAAUACAAGACGCUGCUCGUGCCGCCUGCGUGUCCCGUGGAUUUCUGCACUCCUGGAGACACUAUUCCAACCUCAUACUCAGUGACCGUACGCUUGGUUUGCUUGGCAGAACAUUUGAGGAAACGAAAACCCAUCUCACUUAUAAAAAUGGGGUGAAGGUGAAGACACUUAAACUUAGUCUUGGCCCCUGCAAAGAUAUCAAAGCCUCCUACCUCGACAGGUGGCUCCGGAUCAUUAAACCUGGGAUUCAAGAAUUUAGCUUGGUGUUGUCUUCGGUCAUGAAUAAAAGCUACAGUUUCCCGUGUUCGGUUUUAUCGAACGAGGCCGCUGCAAGUUCAAUUCAGUCUCUUAGCCUCCUUGGUUGCGCUUUUCAUCCCACGUCAAUACUUGGGUGCUUGAGAAGAUUGAAAUGUUUAAGUCUGUGUUAUGUCCACGUUACUGAGGAUGGAUUAGCGCACUUGCUCUCUAAAUCUUCCGUCCUGGAGUGGCUAGAGAUUGAAGCAUGUAGUGGGAUAGUUUGCUUGAAAAUACCUUGUACGCUGCAGCAGCUCAAAUUCCUCAGUGAUCAUUAUGGCAGGACACCGGCCAUCUAUGUCCAAAAUUCUUCGCAUCUUAAGACUGUAGAUAUUUCACCUGUCAGCCUGUCUGGUAUUCUCUCUUAUGCUCGCUUUAGCCUUCCGUCUAUCGCGCAAAAUGUUGAGAGCCUCACCCUGCACGGUCGUAGUGAGAAUGCCAACAUUCCGAUGCUGCCGUCCAAGCUCCCCCACGUCAAGAACUUGGAAAUUUCACUCCUUAAACCCUUCUUUUCCCCAAACUAUGAUGUCCUCUCUCUGGUUUCUUUUCUUGAUGCUUCUCCUGCCUUGGAAUCUUUCAUCCUACGUGUAAGUCACUAUGUACAUCCCUCACAGCUAUCUAUGCUACUAUUAAUGCAGGUAGAGCAGCACGCCAUAAUCCAUGAUCCUGUUGUUGGAGACGACACUGAAUACCGGAGGCAGAAUCUGGAGUGCCGGAAUAACAGCCUGAGGAAGGUAUUGAUCACAGGCUUCUGUUCUGCCAAGAGCAUGGUUGGGCUCACAGUUCACAUCCUCGAGAGAACACAUUCACUAGAGCGCUUCACGCUGGACACAACCUAUGGCUACGAUAGGAGGACUUGUAACAUUGGCAAAUUCCCAACCGCGAGAAUGAUUUGCCAAUGCUGGUCGUUGAGCAAGAGAGGUCUCGAGGAAGCUCAUAGAGCCGUGGAGACAGCGGAUAGAUACAUCAAGGGAAGAGUUCCCUCGUCCGUUCAAUUCGAGGUUCUGGGCCCUGUAGUCGAUGUCAUAUUGGGAAGUAGGUAG